CCUACGGGAGGCAGCAGUGAGGAAUAUUGCACAAUGGACGAAAGCCUGAUGCAGCGACGCCGCGUGCGUGAAGAAGUAUUUCGGUAUGUAAAGCUGUAUCAGUACGGGGGAAAAUGCCGGUACCUGACUAAGACGCCCCGGCUAACUCCGUGCCAGCAGCCGCGGUAAUACGUAGGGAGCAAGCGUUAUCCGGAUUUACUGGGUGUAAAGGGAGCGUAGGCGGUGGAAUAAGUCUGAAGUGAAAACCCAGGGCUCAACCCCGGGACUGCUUUGGAAACUGUUUUGCUAGAGUGUCGGAGGGGUAGGUGGAAUGUCUGGUGUAGCGGUGAAAUGCGUAGAUAUUAGGAGGAACACCAGUGGCGAAGGCAGCUUACUGGACGAUAACUGACGUUGAGGCUCGAAAGCGUGGGGAGCAAACAGGAUUAGAUACCCGGGUAGUC
This 440-nucleotide ribosomal RNA is filed under the name uncultured bacterium. Its description in RNAcentral is "partial 16S ribosomal RNA". It matches the Rfam family "Bacterial small subunit ribosomal RNA", at positions 338 to 795 of the family's 1533-position model. The record is from RNAcentral.